Molecule: long non-coding RNA, 118 nt
Organism: Sapajus apella (tufted capuchin)
Lineage: Eukaryota; Metazoa; Chordata; Mammalia; Primates; Cebidae
Exons: 2
Source: RefSeq, a predicted model, not a curated record
GUGGUGGCUGAUGCCUGUAAUCUCAGCGCUUUGGGAGGCAAAGAUGGGUGGCUCGCUUGAGGUCAGGCUUUCGAGACCAGCCUGGUCAAUGUGGCAAAACUCCAUCUCUACUAAAAAU